Molecule: non-coding RNA, 1073 nt
Organism: Sapajus apella (tufted capuchin)
Lineage: Eukaryota; Metazoa; Chordata; Mammalia; Primates; Cebidae
Source: the annotation of a RefSeq genome assembly
UCCCAGAAGAAAGGCAUGAGGCGCAGCUCGCGAGGGAACCCCUGUGAUGGGACAACCCCGUUGGGCACAUGUGACUGUGGGGAUGGAGGAGGUUGGGGCAUGAAUGGGGAUGGCACUGGGGACCCUGAUUUGCAGGAAAGACAAUGAGCUCACCCCUUGGUGCCUUCUGUUGGGGGUGCUGUUGGCACAUCCUAGAGAGCAUGCCCAGCAGACAGAGGAACGGCUGUGGGAUGAGGAGAUGAACUCAGAGGUGCAGCGUGAGGCCUCUGGGUCCAGGCAGCAUGGGAGCCCAAAGCGAAGACCUAUGCAAUAAUAUUGUUUAAAAGGAGCUUAUAAAUAUUAAAAGUAGUCAUCCACGUGUGUUGCAGUAUAAAUCCUGUGUUCCCAAGGAUAUGCAGAUUGAGAAAGGAAGUGAUGUCACAGUGGGAACUUCCAUGUAAGGACAGGGACGUCCCUCCUUCUCUGCUCCUGCUCACAGUGACCCUGAUCUGGUAAAGCCCCCAUCCUGCCCUGACUGCCAUGGGCACCAGGCUCCUCUGUUGGGCAGCCCUCUGCCUCCUGAGAGCAGAUCACACAGGUGCUGGAGUCUCCCAGUCCCCCAGUAACAAGGUCACAGAGAAGGGAAAGGAUGUAGUUCUCAGGUGUGACCCAAUUUCAGGUCAUAAUGCCCUUUAUUGGUACCGACAGAGCCUGGGGAAGGGCCUGGAGUUUCUAAUUUACUUCCAAGGCAAGGAUGCACCAGACAAAUCAGGGCUGCCCAGUGAUCGGUUCUUUGCAGAGAGAGAUGGGGGAUCCUUCUCCACUCUGCAGAUCCGGCGCACAGAGCAGAAGGACUCGGCUGUGUAUCUCUGUGCCAGCAGCUUAGCCACAGUGUGGCAGAGUCACCUCCUUCCUGCUCACAAACCUCAUCCUUCUCUCCCCUUGCAGCUCCUAGAGACCUUUAUCAGAGGCCUCCCUUUGUUCCUCCCUCCUCAAAGGAAACAAGUAGAUUUGGACCUCGGCUGUCCUUUGGGUAGAAAGAAACCACAAAUUCACCCCGAGACACAGCAACUGUAAAUGUGGGUGGUGGAAGC